RNAcentral lists this ribosomal RNA (253 nucleotides) under uncultured bacterium. RNAcentral describes it as "partial 16S ribosomal RNA". It matches the Rfam family "Bacterial small subunit ribosomal RNA", at positions 524 to 776 of the family's 1533-position model. The record is from RNAcentral.
UACGUAGGGUGCAAGCGUUAUCCGGAAUUACUGGGCGUAAAGAGCUCGUAGGCGGUUUGUUGCGUCGGCUGUGAAAUCCCGAGGCUCAACCUCGGGUCUGCAGUCGAUACGAGCAAACUAGAGUGUUGCAGGGGAGACUGGAAUUCCUGGUGUAGCGGUGAAAUGCGCAGAUAUCAGGAGGAACACCGGUGGCGAAGGCGGGUCUCUGGGCAACAACUGACGCUGAGGAGCGAAAGCGUGGGGAGCGAACAGG